UUCACUUCCCAAUAAAUUAGCCUUCAACUAGAAAACAAAAUAUAAUAAAUUCAAAGAAAUGGGGGAGACCGAGACUACAAGUUCAUGAAAACAAAUUUUAUGUUCUUUUCUUUUCUUUCUUUGAGUCUCCAUCUUGGUAUUAAAAUUGCAGCAAAAUUCACAAGACCAACAAGUUAAAACCUCUGUUACUCGCACACAAUCUUAUGCAAACAUAAAGAG
RNAcentral lists this unclassified non-coding RNA (219 nucleotides) under Hevea brasiliensis (rubber tree). The record is from RNAcentral. Lineage: Eukaryota; Viridiplantae; Streptophyta; Magnoliopsida; Malpighiales; Euphorbiaceae.